GAGUUGUCACAUGAGUUGUUGCUGGUCCUCAAACGGGGGCAUGUGCACGCUCUGUUCACACAUCCACUCACACCUGUGCACCCUCUGUAGUUCUAUGGUUUGGGAGGACACAUCGUCUCCUCCCUCCUGUGGCUCUAUGUUUUUACACACACACCGUAGCGAAGUCAUAUGGAAUGUGCGCCGCGUUUAACGCAAUACAAUACAACUUUCAGCAACGGAUCUCUUGGCUCUCGCAUCGAUGAAGAACGCAGCGAAAUGCGAUAAGUAAUGUGAAUUGCAGAAUUCAGUGAAUCAUCGAAUCUUUGAACGCACCUUGCGCCCCUUGGCUAUUCCGAGGGGCGUGCCUGUUUGAGUAUCAUGAACACCUCAACUCUCAUGGUUUGCCGUGAUGAGUUUGGACUGGUGGGGGUUUUGCUGGCCUGUGGUCGGCUCCUCUCAAAUGAAUCAGCUUUCCAGUGUUUGGUGGCGCCAUGGGUGUGAUAACUAUCUACGCUCGUGACCGUUUGCCAGGUAACCUUCCACAAUGGGGGUUCGCUGGAGCUCACAAAUGUCUCUCCUCAGCGAAGACAGCUUUUUGAACGUUCGAUCUCAAAUCAGGUAGGACUACCCGCUGAACUUAAGCAUAUCAAU
Molecule: ribosomal RNA, 630 nt
Filed under: uncultured Thelephoraceae
Lineage: Eukaryota; Fungi; Basidiomycota; Agaricomycetes; Thelephorales; Thelephoraceae
Description: eukaryotic LSU rRNA
Rfam family: 5.8S ribosomal RNA (bases 204-358)
Source: RNAcentral